This 245-nucleotide ribosomal RNA is filed under the name uncultured bacterium. Its description in RNAcentral is "partial 16S ribosomal RNA". It matches the Rfam family "Bacterial small subunit ribosomal RNA", at positions 524 to 768 of the family's 1533-position model. The record is from RNAcentral.
UACAGAGGUGCCAAGCGUUGUUCGGAUUUAUUGGGCGUAAAGGGUGCGUAGGCGGCCAUGCAAGUCGGAUGUGAAAUACCGGAGCCUAACUCCGGAACGGCAUUCGAAACUGCAUGGCUGGAGGUCUGCAGAGGUGACUGGAAUUCUCGGUGUAGCAGUGAAAUGCGUAGAUAUCGAGAGGAACACCAGAGGCGAAGGCGAGUCACUGGACAGAUUCUGACGCUGAGGCACGAAAGCCAGGGGAG